AUCCUUCGAUUGGGUGUUCAUGCCCCAUGCAGGAGAUGUGCCUCUCUCAAAUCUUGUUAUGACAUUGGCACAUUACCUUUCUGAUU
RNAcentral lists this non-coding RNA (86 nucleotides) under Fukomys damarensis (Damara mole-rat). Its description in RNAcentral is "Small nucleolar RNA U13". It matches the Rfam family "Small nucleolar RNA U13", at positions 27 to 104 of the family's 104-position model. Lineage: Eukaryota; Metazoa; Chordata; Mammalia; Rodentia; Bathyergidae. The record is from Rfam by way of RNAcentral.